CGCGGCCUAUCAGCUUGUUGGUGAGGUAAUGGCUCACCAAGGCGACGACGGGUAGCCGGCCUGAGAGGGUGACCGGCCACACUGGGACUGAGACACGGCCCAGACUCCUACGGGAGGCAGCAGUGGGGAAUAUUGCACAAUGGGCGAAAGCCUGAUGCAGCGACGCCGCGUGAGGGAUGACGGCCUUCGGGUUGUAAACCUCUUUCAGCAGGGAAGAAGCCACAAGUGACGGUACUUGCAGAAGAAGCGCCGGCUAACUACGUGCCAGCAGCCGCGGUAAUACGUAGGGCGCAAGCGUUGUCCGGAAUUAUUGGGCGUAAAGAGCUCGUAGGGGGUUUGUCGCGUCUGCUGUGAAAGCCCGGGGCUUAACCCCGGGUGUGCAGUGGGUACGGGCAGACUAGAGUGCAGUAGGGGAGACUGGAAUUCCUGGUGUAGCGGUGGAAUGCGCAGAUAUCAGGAGGAACACCGAUGGCGAAGGCAGGUCUCUGGGCUGUUACUGACGCUGAGGAGCGAAAGCAUGGGGAGCGAACAGGAUUAGAUACCCUGGUAGUCCAUGCCGUAAACGUUGGGCACUAGGUGUGGGGGACAUUCCACGUUUUCCGCGCCGUAGCUAACGCAUUAAGUGCCCCGCCUGGGGAGU
RNAcentral lists this ribosomal RNA (640 nucleotides) under uncultured Actinomycetes bacterium. RNAcentral's name for it is "bacterial SSU rRNA". It matches the Rfam family "Bacterial small subunit ribosomal RNA", at positions 232 to 881 of the family's 1533-position model. The record is from RNAcentral. Lineage: Bacteria; Bacillati; Actinomycetota; Actinomycetes.